UUACAAGUAAAUAACUUUGUUGUGGUACUGGGGAUUGAACUCAGGACCUUUGCACUGAGCUGUAUCUCUAGCUCUCUUUUAUGUUUUUAUUUUUAGACAAAGUCUUGGCAAGAAGCUUAAAUUGCCUAGGCUAGGCUUGAAUUAUUUGAUCCUUCUGCCUCAGCCUCGAAGAGUGCUAGGAUUACAGAUGCCUGUCUGAGCUAAGUAAUUUUUCAGCACCAGGGCUUUGGUGCUGUAAGACCAAGGGCCUUACCAAAUGCUCCGAGGAGCUGACUAUAGUGAAGCACACCCACGGAUCCCAGCGGUGCCUCCAGAAUGCAAGGCCAAGGGCCUUACCAAACGCUCCAAGGAGCUGGCUACUGCGAGGACCACCCGGGAAGGAACACACCGGCCAUGUUGGAAAACAGACCUUUAUUAGUCUGGCCAGACGGCACUCCCGAAGCAAAAUAGCUCAGAGAGAAAACAGCAUGAAAGCUGAAGCAGCACUGAAGUAGAAACAGUAAUGGAAAAUCUUCCUCUCUUCAUCAUUUCCAACUGUAGUUGUUGGGGUUUUUUUUUGUCCAUUGUCCAUCAUAAAUAUUGCUCAAAUCCAUCUCCCAUACAUAAUUUCUGCUGUUUUUUUUUUUUUUAGAUCAACAUUUUGUCCUCAGUUAAACUACCACAUCAAUAGACUUCUGUUAUUUUGAUUUCAUUUUUCACAUUCCUGCAGAAAUAUCUUUCUAAGCUGCAAAUAUGGUCUUGUCACUUUCAGGCAGAAACACUGAAAGAGUUGUAAUGUCCUAAGUGUAGCAAGAUCAAGAUCCUUGUUUCCUAGUCCCUCUGGAGGUUGGACUACAUCUGCAUUGAUUUUUCACCACUCCUAGAUGCAUUCUUUUCUUACUCUAUUUCUAGUUUGCGUUAAUGAUUUUCUUUCCAUGUCUAAAACAUUAUUCUUUAUAAAGAAGCUAAGCUUUGAUGUAUUUUCUAAUUCCCUUAGGCAGAGUUCAUUAUUUUUAUAUUUUUAUUCAAAACCAGUUUACUUGAAUACAUUAUUCAUCUUUGUUUUCUAAGUGCCUUAGCAGUUCAUGGGACAAGCACAUAUUUUUUUUUCACUAAAUAAUUUUGUUGUUGGCUUGACCAUACUAUGAAAAUUCAAGACUUUGCUCAGUACUGGAGAUCAUAG
Molecule: long non-coding RNA, 1162 nt
Filed under: Heterocephalus glaber (naked mole-rat)
Lineage: Eukaryota; Metazoa; Chordata; Mammalia; Rodentia; Bathyergidae
Description: lncRNA (ENSHGLG00000036283.1)
Source: RNAcentral